GACGAACGCUGGCGGCGUGCUUAACACAUGCAAGUCGAACGGAAAGGCCCUGCUUUUGUGGGGUGCUCGAGUGGCGAACGGGUGAGUAACACGUGAGUAACCUGCCCUUGACUUUGGGAUAACUUCGGGAAACUGGGGCUAAUACCGGAUAGGAGCUCCUGCUGCAUGGUGGGGGUUGGAAAGUUUCGGCGGUUGGGGAUGGACUCGCGGCUUAUCAGCUUGUUGGUGGGGUAGUGGCUUACCAAGGCUUUGACGGGUAGCCGGCCUGAGAGGGUGACCGGCCACAUUGGGACUGAGAUACGGCCCAGACUCCUACGGGAGGCAGCAGUGGGGAAUAUUGCACAAUGGGCGGAAGCCUGAUGCAGCAACGCCGCGUGCGGGAUGACGGCCUUCGGGUUGUAAACCGCUUUCGCCUGUGACGAAGCGUGAGUGACGGUAAUGGGUAAAGAAGCACCGGCCAACUACGUG
This 468-nucleotide ribosomal RNA is filed under the name uncultured bacterium. RNAcentral's name for it is "partial 16S ribosomal RNA". It matches the Rfam family "Bacterial small subunit ribosomal RNA", at positions 28 to 507 of the family's 1533-position model. The record is from RNAcentral.